Molecule: ribosomal RNA, 279 nt
Filed under: uncultured bacterium
Lineage: Bacteria
Description: partial 16S ribosomal RNA
Rfam family: Bacterial small subunit ribosomal RNA
Source: RNAcentral
UGCCAGCAGCCGCGGUAAUACGGAGGGUGCGAACGUUAAUCGGAAUUACUGGGCGUAAAGCGCGUGUAGGUGGUUCGCCAAGUGGGAUGUGAAAGCCCGGGGCUCAACCUCGGAAUUGCAUUCCAAACUGGCGAACUAGAGUACGAGAGAGGGGGGUAGAAUUCAGAGUGUAGCGGUGAAAUGCGUAGAUAUAUGGGAGAACACCAAUGGCGAAAGCAGUCUUCUGGACGAACACUGACGCUGAGGCGUGAAAGCGUGGGUAGCGAACAGGAUUAGAUA